This is a non-coding RNA of Chlorocebus sabaeus (green monkey), 117 nucleotides long. It matches the Rfam family "Metazoan signal recognition particle RNA". From Rfam's summary of the family: The signal recognition particle (SRP) is a universally conserved ribonucleoprotein. It is involved in the co-translational targeting of proteins to membranes. The record is from Rfam. NCBI's taxonomy places the organism in Eukaryota, Metazoa, Chordata, Mammalia, Primates, Cercopithecidae.
GCUGGGUGUGAUGGCUCACGCCUGUAAUCCCAGCACUUUGGGAGGCUGAGGUGGGCGGAUCACUUGAGCUCAGGAGUUGGAGACCAGCCUGGGCAACAUGGUGAAACCCCAUCUCUA